Molecule: long non-coding RNA, 2234 nt
Filed under: Homo sapiens (human)
Lineage: Eukaryota; Metazoa; Chordata; Mammalia; Primates; Hominidae
Description: HSALNT0358898
Source: RNAcentral
AGUUCUGUGGCUUUCAAAUACACAAGCAACAACCACUACACAAAAACCUAUGGCGCUUCUUGGGUUGGGAUUUUGAGAUUGAACCCUAAGCAAAGCGAACAGAAGACAACUUCCUCUCAACAAUCAUUUCCCUUUGUCAUCCUUUUCCUGGCUUCUGUUAAGGAAGGGGAAAUUGAAGUCAUCCAGCUGACAAUCACAGUUCCACAGAUACCUCAAUGGGCUGCUGCCUCUACCUGCAUAGUCUUCUUCUGGUACUGGAACCACUCUAUAUAAAUUGUUGAUGAAUAAGUAUCCUGCUUGUAGAAACUCAGGCACCAACUGGAAGACCCAGAGGCUGUGGGUCAACCCACCUGCAUCUGUGACAUCACAGCUCUAUAAACAAUGUUUGUAUGUUUUUAUUCAGAAAACAAAGAUAUUUCUAAUUUAAAAAAAUUUAAAAAAACUUAAAGAAUGCUGUCUUUUAAAAAAUAUUUAUUUAUUGGCAUGAGUUAAGAAUCACCCAAAUUUCUUUUACAUGCCUAUAAAAAUGAUAUAAUUUGUUUUCUUUAAGUUACUGAUUUACUGUGUAAUAUUUAUGAAUUGUUAAAUAUUGCAUUGGGGUUGGAUUCCCAAUUUGAUUUAUUACUUUCCUAUUAUAUUGCUUAAUUUAGAGUAGUUUAUUUAGAUUGUCAUAUCUACAGCUAACUACAAUCAAUUCACUUCUAAUUUUGUAAAAACUUCAGCAGCUCUAAGGAUUGAGUUAGCCAUUGCCUUGUAAUUAUAACGGGUAACUAUCUUUUUGAUCCUUGACUUGGAAUGAAUAGUUGACACUGAAAUUGCUAAAGAAUAAUGUGGAAAAUCCCUCUCACACUGUUCACCUUCAUUGCUGUGGAUAAUCUUUAACAACUUUAUUUUCUCAGUUGCUCUGUUCAGGUUUUUUACCUCUUACUAUGUUAAUUUUGAUGUUAGUUUUGCUGUUAUUCUAGUACUUGUUGGUCUGUUUUACAGAAUAUGAUCCCUUUCAUUGCUAUUUCUAAAUUUAUCACAAAACUGUGAGAGAAAUCCAUUAUAAUUUAAUCAUUUUAUCCAUUACGAUGUAUGAUAUACCCUUUGUAAUGGUGAUGUCUUAUUUUGAUUAAACUUAAUUAUAUAUUUUUUUAUUUUGACUUCAUAAAAACCAUAUUUUGGAUUAUUCAUUACUUUUACUAAUUUUUAGCCCUGUAUUUUUUUCUGAAUUUUGAAAUUUAUUUUGAAAUAAAUAAUUUCCUUUUCUCAAAUGUUCUUUGGAUUGAUAUUCUCAUUUUCUGAAAUCAUAGCUAAUUUGUAUUUCAGACAAUAAGGUUUUAAUGAGCAUUCUCCAUUGUGGAAUUUCGUAUAUUUGUUUAAAAAGUGUUCACUUCACCUGGGAAUCUGAAUUUGAUUAAGAGACGAGUGGAUAGAAAUAGUGUGGCUGAACCUGCCAUGCUCCUUAUAAUGCAGGAGAUUCCAGUGGACGACCCUGGCUGGCCAUUGCUGCAUGGUUACAAUGUGACCAGACAUGUGUGAUGAGUGGUUACUAAAUAGAACCCCAAGACAGUACAGCAAGAGGAUACCAGAAGUUACAUAGUCAGAAGCUACCAGAACUUCAUCCUAGCCCAGGGAGAUGGCUUAGCAAAAAAGUUGCAGGUGAUAGGAUCACUCACCCUGGCAUUCUUGCAUUCCGGCAGGACUUUGUCCUGGAAAGGCAGGACACCUGAAUAGCCACUACCUGAGUACCUCUCCUGUGAGGAAACCAGGGUGACCCGGGAAACCAUGGUUCUUUGCUUUCCGAUCCUGGUGCAUUUUGUUGUCCUUUGCUACAAUGGAUUUUUGAAUUGAUUACAGUAAAAUUUAACUAGUGGUGGUACAUUUAUGCCACAGAGUGAUCAUGUGCACCACGUUUUAAGCCUAGUUCUCUCAAGACAAUUUCAAAUGGGUUAUUCAGUGAAGAGUGUUAAAGUAUAAUUUUCAGAUACGCCAAAUCAUGACUCUCAGGCAAAUAUAAAAUGAGCACACGUCAAAGACUUUAAAAUUUAUUAACUAAUGAGGGAAACAGCAAGAUGUGGCUAGUUCUAAAAAAAUUUAAAAACUAGGAGUGUUUAUAGGCAAUUUAACAAGUGUUAAAAAUUGUUACUCUUAAAUAAACUGUUUACUGUCCAGUAGACUAUAAAUUUUAGGGAUAAUCUAUUCCUUUGGAUGAAAAUUAUUUGCAUCUCUUCUGGACAAAAAUACAUGUU